CAUUAGAGGAAGGAGAAGUCGUAACAAGGUUUCCGUAGGUGAACCUGCGGAAGGAUCAUUGCACACACAAGUUGCAGCCAACCCGCGGCGAACGAACACAUUGUCCCCCUUCGGCGGGUCGUGGCGCCUCGCGGCGUCGCGGCCGGCCGUCUCCCCUCGUCACGAGCGCGAGCUUCGUGGCGUCGGGUUUCCACACGAUGCAUCACCCGAAUGACUGAGUCCCGAAUAGACUUGGAUGGAGGAGUGGGUGCGUUCCGUCCCCUGGAGCGAGUGGGCUUUGCCUUAGCGAGCUCGAGGGGUGCGGCGCGCGCCGGUUACCUUACGACGAGUUGAAACAUAACCAAAAACAACUCUCAGCAACGGAUAUCUUGGCUCUUGCAACGAUGAAGAACGCAGCGAAAUGCGAUACGUAGUGUGAAUUGCAGAAUUCCGCGAAUCAUCGAGUCUUUGAACGCAAGUUGCGCCCGAGGCUUGUCCGAGGGCAUUUCCGCUAGAGCGUCACCGCGCCCCCCACCGAUCCACACUCCCGUCGCGAGGCGAGAGCGUCACAGGGUCGAGUGAAAGUGGCCGUCCCUCGGUGAAGUGGCCUUCUCGCGAAGGCCAAGUUCUUGAGGGUCGGCUGAAAUGGAUGGAAUUGGGCCGCCGUGGUGACACAGUCCGCGAUCGGGUGAUUUCGUGGCGAGCCUCCUCCGGGAGGGUCGCCGUGAAUUUUUCUAAGUGCGUGUCUGCGUCCCCCAGUUGGCUUCGGUUCCCUCAUGCAGGUCGAGCGCGCCCCCCGCGGCGCGCGUCACGCAUCAGACCUCUAAUCGGAAAAGACUACCCGCUGAGUUUAAG
This 834-nucleotide ribosomal RNA is filed under the name Scleropodium touretii. RNAcentral describes it as "eukaryotic LSU rRNA". The stretch from base 349 to 501 matches the Rfam family "5.8S ribosomal RNA". The record is from RNAcentral. Lineage: Eukaryota; Viridiplantae; Streptophyta; Bryopsida; Hypnales; Brachytheciaceae.